This 72-nucleotide transfer RNA is filed under the name Camelus bactrianus (Bactrian camel). It matches the Rfam family "tRNA". Rfam says of the family: Transfer RNA (tRNA) molecules are approximately 80 nucleotides in length. Their secondary structure includes four short double-helical elements and three loops (D, anti-codon, and T loops). Lineage: Eukaryota; Metazoa; Chordata; Mammalia; Artiodactyla; Camelidae. RNAcentral also lists the same sequence under 2 other names. The record is from Rfam by way of RNAcentral.
GGUAGUACGGCUCAGUGGUAGAGCACGUGCUUGGCAUGCACGAGGCCCUGGGCUCAAUCCCCAGUGCCUCUG